CUACGUGCCAGCAGCCGCGGUAAUACGUAGGGCGCGAGCGUUGUCCGGAAUUAUUGGGCGUAAAGAGCUUGUAGGCGGUUUGUCGCGUCUGCUGUGAAAGGCCGGGGCUUAACUCCGUGUAUUGCAGUGGGUACGGGCAGACUAGAGUGCAGUAGGGGAGACUGGAAUUCCUGGUGUAGCGGUGGAAUGCGCAGAUAUCAGGAGGAACACCGAUGGCGAAGGCAGGUCUCUGGGCUGUAACUGACGCUGAGAAGCGAAAGCAUGGGGAGCGAACAGGAUUAGAUACCCUGGUAGUCCAUGCCGUAAACGUUGGGCACUAGGUGUGGGGGACAUUCCACGUUUUCCGCGCCGUAGCUAACGCAUUAAGUGCCCCGCCUGGGGAGUACGGCCGCAAGGCUAAAACUCAAAGAAAUUGACGGGGGCCCGCACAAGCGGCGGAGCAUGCGGAUUAAUUCGAUGCAACGCGGAGAACCUUACCAAGGCUUGACAU
Molecule: ribosomal RNA, 490 nt
Filed under: uncultured bacterium
Lineage: Bacteria
Description: bacterial SSU rRNA
Rfam family: Bacterial small subunit ribosomal RNA
Source: RNAcentral